UCGUCUGACUGUGAGUCCCAGCAGCUCUCAGUUCUUUAAAGGAGACUUUGUGUCUCUGAGCUGUGAGGAGGACGACAGCUCUGCUGGAUGGACUCUGAGGAGAAACACAAGCAAGGGAAACAGGACUCUGUGUGGAGAUGGGUUUGGAAGAUUAGACGGUAUUUUAUGCAUCAUCAACCACAUUGUCCUACUGGACAGUGGAGUUUACUGGUGUGAGUCCAGAGAGGGUCCCAUCAGUAACAUGGUUAACCUGACAGUCACUGACCAUAAAUUCAUCACAGCUGAGUCUGGACAGGACGUCACUCUGACAUGUCGAGCUCCAAACAACAACAUCAAAUUUUUAAAGUGGACAAAAGCUUACCUGCAGUCAGAAGUUGUCAUUUUGCACUGGGAUGGUCACUUUGAUCCAUUUUAUCAGCAUCCAUCUUUUAAGAACCGGGUGGAUCUGCAGGACAGACAGAAUGUGACGAUUAAUGACAUACGAGUGUUGAGCUGAUGUGAGAGAAACACGCUUAUGGGAUCUCAGCAGCAUCUACCUGAGUGUUGUUGAUCCUCCAGAGAAACACACCACCACACCUCCACCUACAUUGAGCAGCUCACCUCCAC
Oreochromis aureus is the source of this 606-nucleotide long non-coding RNA. RefSeq lists it as uncharacterized. NCBI's taxonomy places the organism in Eukaryota, Metazoa, Chordata, Actinopteri, Cichliformes, Cichlidae. The record is from RefSeq and is a predicted model, not a curated record. The transcript has 3 exons.